GACGUACGCUGGCGGCGUGCUUAACACAUGCAAGUCGAACGGAAAGGCCCUGCUUUUGUGGGGUGCUCGAGUGGCGAACGGGUGAGUAACACGUGAGUAACCUACCCUUGACUUUGGGAUAACUUCAGGAAACUGGGGCUAAUACCGGAUAGGAGCUCCUGCUGCAUGGUGGGGGUUGGAAAGUUUCGGCGGUUGGGGAUGGACUCGCGGCUUAUCAGCUUGUUGGUGGGGUAGUGGCUUACCAAGGCUUUGACGGGUAGCCGGCCUGAGAGGGUGACCGGCCACAUUGGGACUGAGAUACGGCCCAGACUCCUACGGGAGGCAGCAGUGGGGAAUAUUGCACAAUGGGCGGAAGCCUGAUGCAGCAACGCCGCGUGCGGGAUGACGGCCUUCGGGUUGUAAACCGCUUUCGCCUGUGACGAAGCGUGAGUGACGGUAAUGGGUAAAGAAGCACCGGCUAACUACGUG
RNAcentral lists this ribosomal RNA (468 nucleotides) under uncultured bacterium. Its description in RNAcentral is "partial 16S ribosomal RNA". It matches the Rfam family "Bacterial small subunit ribosomal RNA", at positions 28 to 507 of the family's 1533-position model. The record is from RNAcentral.